RNAcentral lists this long non-coding RNA (14177 nucleotides) under Marmota monax (woodchuck). The record is from RNAcentral. Lineage: Eukaryota; Metazoa; Chordata; Mammalia; Rodentia; Sciuridae.
CUGAUUUCAACCCUAUAUAUUAAUUUAGCAAGUGUUUAAAAUCUACAUGUGUAGUCAUACAAUAUUAACUUAUUUCAUAGCUGGCUUAUUUUGUUCAACACAAUGACUUUGGGAUUAAUCUGCAUUUUUGUGAUUAAUUGUAGAUUGUUCAUUCUCAAUAAUGAACACUGUAGAACAUUUCAUUGUGAGAAUUUAUCUCAAUUUACUUAACCAUUCUGCCAGGAUAAGCAUUGAGAUAAUUGGCAGCUUGGGACUCUUAAAAAUAAUGCUAUAAAUAUCUAGUAAAUGUGUUUUAUGAAAAUAGGUACUGUAGGUAAAUUACUGUUGAGUAUCUCUAGGAAUAGAACUUCUGAACCAUAGGGUAAACAGAAGUGAGGCUUUAGUAAAUAUUGCCAAACCAUAAAUUAAAUCACUUUACAUUCACAGGAAAAGUGUAGGAGAGUUAAGUUGGCUACAGACCCUCACUGAUACUUGAUAUUUUUCUAAUUUUUAUUACUUAUUUUAUUCUUUUAAAAGCUGAUACAUAACAUAUUUAUGGGGAAAAGUAUAUAUAGUUCAAUACAUGUACACACUGAAUAAUGAUCAAAUCAAGAGAGUAAGCAUAUCCGAUUUUUAACAUAAUUUAUAUGUAUUAGAAGACAUCCUAUUCUUCUUUUAGAGUUAUUUUCCCAAAUAUAUCAUAUAUUAUGAAAAGUUAAUUUCUGUUUGACUAUAAAUUAUUAUGAUUUCUAAUCUUGUUUGGAAUUCCUGCCCAUGCCUUGAACUCACCCAUGCCUGAAUUUCUCUGACCAGAUAACAACCCUCUCUUAAACCUUAGUGGAACCUCAUAAAUCCUAGCUCCCCCUGACCAGAUAACAACCCUCUCUGAAACCUCAGCAGUGCCUCAUAAAUUCUAAUGUUGGGAUCUGAAUUUACUCCCUGCCUUCAAAUAUCAUGCCACGUACAUCAUUAACCUGUUAUCUGCCUUUGUAUUAUGCUUGUCAAAAUCCUGUUAUCUUUAAGUUCUCAAGACACUCCCCUUUGCAACUUUUUGAGCUAUAAAACUGUGUUCCUGGAAAGCUGGGGUACUGAUCUCUAGCCCGGAAUUUUAGGUGAGAUGGUUGCUGGCCAGACUUUGUGUACACAAAUACAAGCUUGCUUUAAUUUGAUUUAAAACAAAAGUUAGUAGUCUUUUCUUUGUGUCAGGGUUCAAAAACAUUAACAACAACAACAACAAAGGAAACAUGAAGGAAGAGACUGUAUUGCUAAUUUCUGCUGGUUAUAGAGAAAUUACAACUAUUGCUGAUUUAUAAAACCAUCCUAUUCUACUCAAACUUUGUUUUUAAAUACUUAAUACCAAAUUGAAAAGAAAAAAUACUUCUUCUAGGUGGAAGUUUGGAUUUUUGCCCUUCUACUAAGUUAAUGCUUGGUAUUAAAACUUUUGCUAAAAUAAGUUUCUACAAAGGAGGAAAAGCUUACCCAUCACUUGGUUUCUGGGACACAGCCAAGUGCCUGGGUUUCAGACUGCAUGGGCACUGUAUCUUUUGGGGUACCUAUUCCAUAAGGCAGGGCUGUAGGAGGUUUAAAGUGGUGGCACAUUUCUUUUUAUCCUUGUGUUAGGAGUGCAGUACCUCAAAGAAGGUUCAUUUUUCUUUCAUAGAGAUAUUCAUAUCUCAGAAAGAAAAAAAAAUCUAAAAUGUGAACUUAAAGCUGACUAAUGCUGUGACUAUGUUUGCCACAAACUGAAAUAUACUACAUUUCACUCUUGGAACUUGUGCUGUAAAGAAACCUAGGUAGCACCUGAUUCACCACCAUGUACAAUCUUAUGAAGGCAAUUGUAUAAUGCAAUAGCGCAGCCAACAUACUUUUGUGGGGAGUAGGGGAAAAUGAAGGGAAAAAAAGAAUCAUCAAAGUGAAUUCUCUUUUGUGACAUUGGAAGUUAUUCUUUGAUGAACUAUAUUAUUGUAAUACCCCCCUGAGGCCUUUUAGGCUCUUGUCUCAGAUUUCAAGUCUUGGUGAAAUUUGAAAACUGCUUUUCUUAGAAGAUAGAAACUGGUAGUGGUAGAGAGUUAAUAGAUAUAAUUUCUUACCUAAUUCUCAGGAGGAAGGACAUUAAGGAAUUGUAUUUAAAAGCAGCACCCUCUCUUCACUUUUGUCCUCAGGAUAUCUUUGGGUCUAAAUACAAUACAGAUACAGAUACAAUACAAUACAGAUAUUGUAUUGCAAGUGUGCAAUUUGAAAACUUAGAGAAUUAGAAAUGAAUUGCAAAUGGCAGGUAAUUUCCAAAGGUUGAUGCAAACUGAUGCAACUGAUGGUUGAUGGUGAAUACCAAGGGUUCUUAUUGAACUUACUCCUGAUGCAACAGCAAUUUCAAUUUCCUCCCAGUGACUUAAUUGUUAUAUUGCUCCAUAGUAUCCAAUAUGUGCAUUAGGAGAACUGCUAGAAAGAGCAAGAAUACAUGUAGAAAGCUUCACAAUCAUGAUCAAACUUGAUUCUCAACUCUGACAUUGGAUCAAAAUGUGGCCAUCCCUUACUGAGGCCAUUAGUCCAGGUCUCAGAUUUGAAAUCUAUGUGCAAUUUGUUAACUGCCUUUGGUAUUACAUGGGCAAAUAGUAGUGGUAGGGAGUUAGGAGAUGCAAUUUCUUUCUUAAUGCUCAAGAGAGCAUUAAAGUGUACUGUUUCACAGUAGCAAAACUUUACAUUUGACUCAAGGUAUCUGCACACAUACAGACAAGUAUGUACAUUUUGAAAACUCCUUAUAGCAGUAAGAGAGAAUUGCAAGUGGCAGAUAGUUUGCAAAGAAUGAUGCAAACUUAAUUCUCAAAUGUUUUUUACCUUUAAUUACUGCUGCAAAAGCAGUUUCAUUUUCUUCCCAUGGGUAUAAUAGGUGCUAUUCUCCACAGCAAACAAUAUCUGCAUUAGUGAAACUGCUAGAAUGAGCAGGAGUGAAACAGUACAUGGACGGAGCUUCAAAAUGCAUGAUAAAACUUAAUGUUCAACUCUGGCUUUGGGAGUCCUUUCUUAAUGAACUACAGUAUUGCCAUAGCUCACUGUGGUCUUUUAGAACCUCUUCUCAUAUUUGAAGUAUACGUGUAAUUUGUAAGUUGCUUUAUGUGGGAGAUGGAAAACAUUAGUUGUAGGAAGUUAGUAGAUACAAUUUUUUAAUCUAAUGCACAAAGGGGCGUUAAGGAAUAAUAUUUCACAGUAACAGCCUGUCACUUGCAGUUUACUCCUAUCCCUCUUAGGUAUUUUCAAAAUGCAGGUGUUCAGAUACAUUGAGAAAAGCCUGAAGAUGCUUUGGAAAUGCAGGUGAACUCAGUACUGACUUAAACUACUUUUCUGUUAAUACCCCCUUGUGCAUUAUGUAAGAAAUUAAAUUGGAUUAUUCUCUACCAUUACCAGUUCCCAUCUUCUAUGAAGAGAAAUGUACAGAUUGCACCUAGACUCCAAAUCUGAGACCUGGGGCUAUAGAGAGGUAUGGCAUAUUGUAGUUCAUCAAGGAUUGACUCCUAAUGCCAGAAUUGAGAAUUCGGUUUGAUCACACAUUGUGCUGCUUUCUACAGUAACAUUUUACUCUUGCUCAUUCUACUAGUUUUUAAUGUGGAUACUCAGUGCUGUAGAGCAAUGUACUUAUUAAACCCCUGGUGAGAAAGAUAAAUCUGCUGUAGGAAAAGUAAUGAAUUCAGUAAGUCCCCUUUGGGAAUUCAGUUGUUUUGGCAUGGGGAAACUGCCUUUUAAUUGUGAUUCAUUCCUACCUGUAUGAGGCAUUUUCAAAAUGCACAUAUUCAGGUGUGUAGAAUACAGUUCUGAGUGACUCUGAAUGCCAGAACUGAAAAUUCAGUGUGAUGCUGCAUUGUGAGGCUUUCUACAUGUACCAUUUCCCACUAGCUCAUUCUAGUUUUUCCAAAUCUGGAUAUUAGAUCUGUUGAGCACUUUAACUAGGAAUCCCCUGGGAAGAAAGUAAAGCCUGUCUUGCAGCAGCAGUCUAUUCAGUAGGACCCAUUUGUGAAUUAAGUUUGAACCUGCUUCUAAAAUCUUCCUGCCACUUUCAUUUCACUCUUAUUCCUAUAAGCUGUUUUCACAAUGCACAUAUUUGGCUGUAUUUUUCUCAGGUCUUAUGGUAUUCUUAAGAUAAAUGUAAAGGUCUUUUUGUUUAAUUUUGUUUGUUUAUUUGCCAUGAAAGACAAUUUCUUAAUCCUACUUGAGUGUCAUGACAGUAAUUAUAUCUCCAAACUCCCUCUAAGUACACUUUUGUGUCUUCUAUAAAAACGGAUCACAAAUUGCUCAUAGCUUCAAAUCUGAGUCCUGUGCCUAAUGGGCCACAGAUAUUAUUGGAAACAUUAAACUUAAAACAAGGGUUGACUUCAAAUGACAGAAUUAAGAAUUCAGUUUGAUUCUUCACUGUGAGAUUUUCUCUAAUUCCCACUUCCCUUCUGAUUUUUCUAGCUCUUUUCUAAAGGCAGAUACAAGGCCCUGUUGAGCAGUGUAAUUAGUGAAGCCUGUGUGGUAGCAAGAGUCAAUUCUGCAAGACUCUUUCAUGGUUUCAUUUGAAUUAGCUUCUGGAAGAUACAUGACACAUUUAUUUCACUCCUGUUUUUAUAACCUGUUUUCAAAAUGCAGAUAUUUAGCUGUAUUGAGUUCAGGAUUUUUGCAGUAUUGUUAUGGUUUACAUUUUGGUAUCCUCCAAAAGAUCACUAUGAGAAAAUGCCUGAGAGUUUAGAGGUGAAAUGAUUGGAUUAUUACAACCUUAACCUGUUCCAUACAUUAAUCUCUUGAUGGGCAUUUACUGAAAGGUAACAGUAGGCAGGUGGUGUGUGGUUAAAAUAGGUGGGUCCCUGGGGGCAUGCAUUUAGGUUAUAUAUUUUGUCCACAUUGACAAGAGUUCUCUCUUUGCUUCCUGGUGGCCAUGUCCUGAUGUGUUCUCCUUCACCACAUACCUCUAACAUGGUAUUCUGCUUCACCUUGAACCCCCAGGAAUGGAGCCAGCUCUCUUUGAACUGUGACUUCUGAAACUGUGAGCCACCAGGUAAACUUUUCCAUCUAAAACUGUUCUUGUCAGGUCUUUUAAUCACAGCAGAAACCAAAAGCUGACUAAAAAAAGUGCACUUAGGAUGAAUGUGCAUGAUGUAGGGUGUUGAAAGACAAUUCCUUAAUGCCCCCUUGAGCUUUUUGAAGAAAUUUCAUCUGAAGACUCCCUCCAAAUAAAGUUCCCUGGCUUCUAUAAAAAGCAGUUUACAAAUUGCACAUAGGCAUCAAAUCUGAGUCCUGGACCUAAAGGGUCCCAGAGAUGUAUGGGAACAUUGGGAUGACUCCAAAUGUCAAAAUUAAGAAUUUGGUUUGAUUCAGUAUGGAGAAGCUUUCUAUGUACCAUUUCCCUCCUGCUCAUUCUAGCUUUUCCACAUCCAGAUAUUGGGCCUGGUUGGGACUGAUUGACUACGAAGCCCCUGGGAAGAAACUGAAGCCUGUGCUGCAGCAGAAUUCAAUUCAAGUAGGACUAAUUUGUGAAUUCUGUUUGAAUCUGGAAGCUACUUAAUACUUUCAUUUCACUCUUGUUCCUAUAAGCCACUCUAAAACUGCACAUAUCCAGGGGUAAUGAGGUCAGAAUUUAAGGUGCCCUUAGGAAAAAUUUGAAGGUUGUGCUCCCAUGAAAGAGAUUUUCUUUAUUCCCAUUUGAGCAGCUUGUAAGAAAUUAUCUCUGUAUCCUCCCUCUAUGGAUAGUUUCCUGUCUCUUAUGAAAAGCUUUUAGAAAUUUCAAUACCUGGGCCUCUUGAGCAAAGAUGAGGGAGCCUAGAAACCAAGACUCUGCUCUUAAAGGGAAAAGAUGACUGAGCCCUAGGUAGGUUCAGGAAGUAGGAACACAAAUCCACCUCACUAUUCAUUAAGAACAAGCUCUAGGCCAGAGGAGAGUGGUGUGUUACAGGUAUCUCAAGGAUGUACUUGUCAGGUGCCUUGCCCCCAGUUCAGGUGGAGUAAUCCCUGAAACCCCUCAGGAGAUUUUGUGUGAGGCCUGUCAAAUUUUGACCCUUUCAGUCCUUUCCAGUGGAGUGCCAUCUAGGGAAGGUCUGAAUUCUGUAAAAUUUGCACAAGCUGGAGUCCCUGAGCAACAAAGGCAUUAGCUGGGACAGGAUAGGCAUCUGUGUAAGUCAGGCAAAUUAGACAAGUCUUGGAUUGGCUAGUCCGGGCUUUUCUGGAAUAUCAAAAACAUGGCAAGGUGAAGGAGGGCAAGGGAAGACAAGGAAAUGGAUGACUGGGCUUGGUUUGAUUGGGUGUAACUAGGCUUGGCUUGGCUUUUACUUGAGUCACAUCAUGACCAGGCAAUGAAAAACAAGGCAAAGCAAGACAAGGCAAAAGAAUAUUUGGCUGGGCUGGGCUGGGCUGGGCUAAACUGGACAUAGCUUAGCUUCUCCAGAGACAUAUGAUGACAAGGCAAUGAAAAGCAAGACAAUAAAAAUCAAGGUAAGUCAGGACUAGCAAGGCUUGAAUCCUUCUCAUUACCCAUGCCAUGGUGACAUAAAAUAAGUUAAAUAAAGGCAAUGCUUGACUUCUCAUUGAUACCAAAACCAUGGAAAAGUAAGGAAAGGCUUUCCCUCUAUAGCCAAACUGUGGCAAGACACAGCAAGGCUAGACUAGUCAAGUCAAAGCUAGAAAGUGUUGGCUUACCUCCAAUAUCCAAGCAAUGGCAAAACAAGGAAACGAAAAGGAAGUCAAGGCAAGGCAUUUCAAAUAAAGGCAAAGCAAACUUAGCUUUGAUAGCCAAGGCAAGGCAAAGCAAGUCAAGGCUUGACUUGGCAUAGCUUUACUGUACUUGUCUUCUUUAUAGUAAAAUAAAGUAUAGCCAAGUAAAGCCAUGGAAAGGUACAGCUAGGCAAGGUAAGGCAAGGCAUGCCUUGACUUGGCUAGAAUUAGCUUGGCUUCUCUUCGCAUCAGGCCAUAGAAAGGCAAGAGGAGACAAGGCACAGCAACUUGAUUUGAUCUAAAUUGGAUUAUAAAUAGCCAAAAUAUGAAAAGGCAAGACAAAUUAAGGGAGGCAAGAGAAGACUUUGCUGUGAUUGCCUUGACUUGGCUAAUCACUAAUAGCCCAGGCAUGGAAAGGCAAUGUAAUACAAGGCAAAGCAAAGCUUGGCCUGGUUUGGCUUCCUCUCAGUAGCCAUGUCAUGGUAAAGUAAGACAACCCAAGGCAAAGCAAGGCAAGAUAAAGUCUGGCUUCCACUUGAUAGUCAGGACAUAGCAAGGCAAGACAACAUAAGUCAAAGGAUCGCAAGGUACUGCUUGCCUUCUGCUCAAUAACUACAUCACAUCCAGGCACCAUAACAUAAGCAAGGCAAGUCUUGGAGUGGCACAUUUUCAUUCCUUAUGGUAUGUUUAUAUCUGGUGAGGCAAGGCAAAGAAGACUUGAAGGCAUGUCUUGAAAUGGUUUGACCUGGCUUUUUCUCAAUAGGCAGUCCAUGUGAAGGCAAGGCAAUAAAAGGCAUGGCUCAGCUAGACUUUUCUUGGUUUCUCCUAAAUAGCCAAACUAUGAAAGCCAAAGAAAGGCAAGGCAAGGCAGACAAGCAAGAGAGAGAAGGAAAAACAUGGCUCAGCCUGGUUUCUCCUAGAAGCCAAGCCAUGGGAGUCAAGACAAGGCAAGAUACGACAAAACUGGCCUUCUCCUUGAUAGCCAAACCAUGAUGAGGUUAGGUGAGGCAUAGCAAAGCAAAGGUAGUAAAGGCCAUUCUUGGAUUCGUCUUGAGAGCCAAGGCAUAGCAAUGCAAGCCAAGCCAAGGCACAGAAAGAGCAUGUUUUGCUUCCUCUGUAUAUUCAAAUCAUGGAAACUCAAGGCAAGUACCUACAAGAAUGAGCCAGGUCUAGCGUCCACUAGUAGCCAAGCCAUGAUGUGGUAAGGCCAAAUAAGACAAAGUUUGGAUUGGAUUGGCUUAGAUUGGCUUGGCUUAUCAAUAUGCAAGCAAGCAAAGCUGCCUUGACUUCCUUGCCUUUCCCCAAUAGGUAAACUAUGGAAAUCAAGGGAAACCAGAUACACAAUGCAUUCCCACUAUGCUCAACCUAUGGAAAGGCAAGGCAAGAUAAUGCAAAGCAAUGGAAAACAAGGCAAUAUUCGGUUUCCCCUUGAUAGUCAAAACAUGGAAAGGAAUCGUUUGGCUUCCUCUCAAUAGCCAAGCAAUGCAUUCUAAGUAAAGAUAAGCCAUAGUAACUGGCCUUUCCCUCUAUAGCCAAGAAUUGUGGAGACAAAGCAAAGUAAGGCAAAACAACUCAAGCCUCAUUUUAUAGUCAAUCCAUGGCAAGGCAAGGCAAGGCAACAAAAGGCAAGGACAGUCAAGGCUUGGCUUUCCCUUUAUGACCAAGUCAUAUUAAUAAAGACAAGGCAAGGAAUGGCAAUGCCAAGAAAUAUUUUCCUCUCCAUUGCUAAGUAUGAGGGAAGGAGUUUGGAAAGUUUACAGAUACAAGAAGGAAAAGUUUAGAUUGUUUUAAGCAGAGUUUAAUGGGUAAUUCUGGAGGAAACUCAGAAGACCAAAAUGUCAAAAGACAGUGGACACUAAAGACAGUGGACUCUAUUAGAAAUUGGACUAGAGGCCAUUUGUGUUACAUUCUGGUAAAGAAGUUGUCUUCAUUUUGCCAAUAUCCCAAAACUUUCUGAGGCUGAAUGGACUAAUUUAUCUGGAGGUAGAAAUUUCAAGAUAGCAUAGCAUUCAGGGUAUAUCAUGGAUAUUUCUAGCAGUAUUUGGUCAAGUUUUCUGUGAUAAUAAGCUGAAGGCAGAGAAAAAGAAUUAAAAACCCAGAAGUUUGGUAAAAAGUGACUAAAAUUGGGGUUAAGGAAAGUAUGGCAAAGAGAUUACAACAAUCACCUUCCCCAGAAACAAUAGGAAAGAUGACUUGACAACAUCCCACAAAUGUCAAAACCACACUCAUCUCAGGAUCAAGGGUGUAAAAAUAAAAUUUUCUUUGAGAAUACACCAGUUGGGCAUUCUCCCUGCAUAGAGAAUUCUUGGAAUUUGUUUCACCAUGAUCAGUUACCUGGGCACUCAGAGAUUGCUACAGCUGUUAUCCCCAGGAGGCUUUGCUUGACAUGGUUUUAGAUCUUGGCAUCAAUCACAAGAUGCUGAUUCUGCAGGAUUGCAUGAUUUUGGAGUUAGGGUGUUAUGGAGGGUCCCACUGCAUAUUGUAUUCACAUUGUUUCAAAAGAAGGCCUAAGAGAGCAGGCAAAGUGUAGCAGGGUCAGAGUCUCUGUGGACUGCCUCUCAGAGAGUGAUGAGCAAAAAAAUGAGCAGAAACCCAAAGCUUCAGAUUAAGAGAUGCCAGUCACAUGGGAUUUCUACCACAGAAAGUUGUAGGAAUUGAGAAGAGGUCAGGUAGGCUGCAAUCAGAAGUCCCUGAGAGGAGGAGAAAUGUUUCUCUCAGGUGGUUACCUUGGCUUGAUCUCAGGUUAUGGCUUCUAUGUGCAGUUUUCCAUGUGUGGAAAACUGCACCCAUAUUUCUCAGAAUGAUGCAUUUCUGAGGGUUCUUAUGACCCAAUUUUAGUGCAUUAGUGCAUUGUAAUAAUUCUCCCUGGCCACAUUUAUGAGAUUUAUUGAUCAGCUCUCAAGAGUCAAGGGCUGAAAAACAAAUGGCCCUUGUUGCACUGCUAGAGAAGCAGGACAAGGUAAAGUAAAUAUUUUCCACAGAAAUAGUAGACACACAGGAUGUAAGUGUGCCAGUUUUAGGCAGUCUGAAACCAUUCCUUCUAGAAGAUGGUAAAGGAAAACCUAGUAUUAGAAUAAUUAUUUUUAUUAUGUUAUUUUACUUUGAGUUCUUUUUAGUACAUUGUAUACAUAAUGGUAGGGAUUCAUCCUGACAUUCAUAAAUGUGUAUAACACAGUUUUUGCCAUUGAAAUUUCCAUAUUAUGCCCUUUUUUUUCUUCCCUCCUCCCUCCCCUAAUCUCCUUUCUCUACCCUAGUGGUCUUCAUUCAAUUUAUUCAUUUUUUAAUUGAUACAUUUUAGCUAUAUAUAAAAUUACAAUCCACCGUGCUAUAUUCAGGCAUUCACUUUGUAUUAUUCUUUGACUUAUAAACAAUAAUCAGUUAUUUCUUAUAGUUCUGAAGGAUGGGGAGUUCAAGAUCAAGUUUCUGUCAUUUACAUUGUCUGUCUUAGGCCUGUUCUUUGUAGUCAGUGCCUUCUCUCUUCAUCCUGGUGGUGGAAGGGGCUAGCUAGCUAUUCAGGGUCUCUUUCUCUUUUCCAAUUGACACAUGAUAAUUGUCUACAUCUAUGGGGUACACUGUGAUAUUUCAAUCUAUGAAUACAAUUUGCAGUGACCUAGUCAGGAUAAUCAAUAUCCUUCUCAAACAUUUAUCAUUUCUUUGUGUUUAAAACAUUUAUACUCCUGUGUCCUCAUUUUUCACAAAAUAAAUAAUAAUUUUUUGUUAAUAAUAGUCACCCUAAUAUACUAUAGAACACUAGACCUGAUUCCUUCUAUAUACAUAAAUGUAUGUGUGUAUAUAUAUAUAUAUCUAUAUAUAUAUGUAUAUAUAUAUGUGUUUGUAUAUGUAUGUGUAUGUAUAUACAUACAUACACACAUUGUCUUUUUAGUUAUACAUGACGGUAGAGUCUCUUUUGACACAGUUAUUCAAAGAUGAAGUUAUUCUUUCUAAAUAGUAUCCCAGUUUUGUGCAUGUACACAGUGUUGAGAUUUUACUGUGGUGGACUUAUAUAUGUACAUAAGAAACUUAUGUCAGAUUUAUUCCACUGCCUUUCCUAUUUCUAUCCCCAUCUUUCCCCUUCAAUAUUCACUGUCUAAUCCACUGAACCUCUAUCUCCUCCUUUUGUUGUGUGUUAGCAUCCACAUAUCAGAGAGACCAUUCAACCUUUGCUUUUGAGAGAUUGACUUAUUUCACUUAGCAUGAUAUUCUCUAGAUCCUUUCAUUUACCAGUAAAAGUCAUAAAUUAUUCUUCUUUAUGGCUGAGUAAUAAAUCUUUCUUUGAGGUGGUGUUCAUAGCUCAGCUUCAGGCUCUGAAUGGAUCGUGAAAUGCACAUUCAUGGAAACCUAUGUGAUUUUUGAUGUCCCAGAAAGCCUCACUCAUGAGGGCACCACUGGCCUAACCUUUGGGAAUAGGAAUUACACUCCCCUGGACAGGCUUACGACAGUUUGAUUAUUCUCAGCUGGGGUUCUAGGAGCUAAAUGAAGAGACUUGUCUGACUCAAACCAUUAGGAGAAGAAUCUGGAGACACUCAGGAUUCAGUGUUUCAAUGGUAGGCAACUUGACUCAAUUUGUGGUAGAAAGAGCUGUAAAGAAAUUUCUGGAAAUAGGAGAAACAUUUGAACAAACAUGGGGGCAUGUCUAGGCCAAAAGUUGGAGGCAGGAUACGUAGUGCAUAUGCUUAGAUUCCUGAUCCCAGAAUGGGAUCCCAGUCACAUUCCUGAGGUUUCUUUUGGCCCAAAUGUAAAUAUUGCAAUAACCUCUUCUUCAACAGAGUUAGAAGGGGAGAGUUUGGUCACAUGUAGGGAGCCAGCAGACACAUGAAGGGACUUGCCUGUGAUAACCCUACAUGCAGCUUAGAAAAAAAAUGAGAUAAAGGAUUCACUAAAAAGAAAAAAAAUUGAGAAUGCAAACUUGCCAUUUUCAGGCCAUCUGAAUACCUUUCUCGCAGGAAUAGUGAGAAAUAAUUUCCAAGUCUCCUGUCAAUCAACCGCCACUUGCACUGCUAACUCCAUUGCUGCCUCUGAUUCCGCUGCCACCAGCCUGAGAUCCUAUGGAGGUCUUCUUUCUGGAUGCUACUGCCACAGAAGGAAACCACUGCCUUGGAUGCAACUGAAGCCUACACUGCUGCUGACCCUGGAGAUCACCUAGAUACAAUGCCCCCUCAGUUGCUAUUGUAGCUACCGCUGCAACCACCACUACUGCUGACUCCCUGCCAGCAACCACCACCACUACCGCUGCUACCAUAGCCUAGAGGACUACUUCGAGGGAGACUUAAGCCCAUUUGGGGACACCAGUCAGUGCGGGGCCCUGGGUGCCAGCAGGUUUACCACCACAAAAGCCUCUGUCUGGGGACUCCCGCUGGGACAUGCAGGUCCAGUGUGGGGGUGCCAGAAGGUUUGGAGGAGCCUGGGGUCUUCCUGGUGAGAGUGCUGGUGGCCAUUGUCUUGCUGCUGCUGCAUCUCAGAGUUGCUCCUUUGCAUGAGUGUAUCCCUGGUGGUCUCUCAGCAAGUAUGAGCAGCAUUGAGAACUUGGGACUGCAGCGUGGCCAAUCCUGAGGUAUCUGUAAAGGUCGGGCGAGCGUCAGAGGAAGAGACCACCAAGAGACUGUCACAUGCAACAGCAAAGGGUUUAUUGGGGGUCCAGCAUGCUGGGGCUCAGAGCUCACUUGAAUAGAGCAGAGAGCCCCGGGAACAGCUUAAGCAGAGCUUAUAUAUUUUCCUUGGAGAGGGCAGGGACUUCACAUACAGCAUAGCCAAUCGUUGCACGGUUUCUGGGAGGGGUGGUUUUUGUAGAGCAACCAGAUGGGCAUUUCCGGGACUUGUUUUCAACUUCUACAUGAGUUUCAGGUUCCAGGAAAACAGAACUUAAUUCUUACAUUCUUAACCUUUUCAAUAUAAUAGCAGAAAAAUUUUCAAACUUAACGAAUGGAGUGGAAGAUCAAAUACAAGAUGCUUACAGGACCCCAAAAGCACAAAAUUACAGCUGACCCACAUCAAGACAGGUUAUAAUGAAAAUGACUAACACAGAGAAUAAAGAUAAAAUCCCAAAGGUUUUGAGAAAAAAAUCAAAUUACAUAUGGGGGGAGGAAACAAUUCAGAUCCAAACUGAUUUCUCAGCCCCUAUCUUCAAAGCUAGUCCUUCCUGGAAUAAUAUAUUUCAAGCUCUGACAGAAAAUGGAUGGUAACCAAGAAUUAUAAAAAUUAUUUAGAAAAAUUUUCAAAUUUGAAAACAAAAUUAAAACAUUCCAUGAUAAACAAAAAUUAAAAGAAUUCACAACUAGAAAGCCUACACUACAUAGCAUUCUCAACAGAAUAUUCCUUGAGGAUAAAGGGGGGUGGGAGUGAAAACCAGCAAAGGGAGGAUCCUAUAGUAAAGUGAUAUUCAACCAAAUGAGAAACUAAGACAAAUCAAAAAUCAGAAAUAAAUCAAAAUGACAGGGAAUACAAAUCAUAUCAAUAAUAACCUUGAAUGUUCAUAACCUAAAGUCAUCAAUCAAAUGACACAAAUUGGCUGAUUGGAUUAAAAUGUAAGAUCCAACAAUAUGCUGUCUUCAAGAGACUCACCUCAUGGGCAAAGACAUCCACAGGCUGAAGGUGAAAGGAUGGGAAAAAAUUUACCACUCAUAUGGAUUGCAUAAACAAGUAGGGUUCUCUACUCUCAUUUCAGAUAAAGUAGAUUCAAACCAAAGUUAAUCAGAAGAGGAAAAGAAGGGAAGUAUAUAUAAGCAGAAUAUAAUAAUUAUAAAUAUUUAAGCCCCAAACAGUGGAGCCUCCAUGUACAUCAAACUAACACUUCUCAAUUUCAAGAGUCAAACAGACCAAAAUACAAUAAUACUGGAUGAUUUUAACAAUCCUCUCUCACUACUGGACAGAUCUUCCAAACAAAAACUAAAAGAAAAUUAUAGAACUAAAUAAUACAAUCAAUAACUUAGACUUAACAGACACAUACAAAAUAUUUUAUCUAUCAAUGAGCAAAUAUACUUCUUUUUUUUACAUUUGUGGGGACUUAAUUCAAAUGUUUUAAGCAGUUACUUUUCCAAUGAGUUUCACCCACUGACUUCAUGGAAUUAUGGGUCAGCUUGAUAUAUCCAGGUUCAAGGAAAAUUGCCCACCAAGGAUGUAAAUGAAUUCCCUCAACUUAGGAAGAUAUUGCCAUGGGAGAAACUACAUGGCAAAUGAGAGCAUCAUUUAUAUUUUUCUGUUCUAUUAUACAUCUCAAUGGAAAUCUCAAGUAACAGUCACGACCAGAAUCUCAUAUCCAGAUUAUUACAUUGUUCAUUUAAUUAGAAUCAUCCCAUUUUAAAUCUGUAAUCAGUCAUGAUUUAUUGUGGAUCACAAUGGCAAGGUGUAAAGCUUAGGAAAGACUUUUUUUUUCCACUGAUAUUUAUUUAUUUAUGAGGGAGGAAGAUGGAGGGCUAGAGGGAGGCAACAUCCUGGAUCGCUCUGUGAUCCAGAUCUCACCUAGUCAGAAUACUGCAUCUCUGAGUGUGUUAGAAGUGGCCUCUAGUCCUGUUUUUUGUAGAGUUCAC